GCGAGAGUGGCGGAAUUGGCAGACGCGCCGGGUUUAGGUCCCGGUACCUUCGGGCGUAGGGGUUCGAGUCCCCUCUCUCGCA
This 82-nucleotide transfer RNA is filed under the name Actinomycetota bacterium. Its description in RNAcentral is "tRNA-Leu". It matches the Rfam family "tRNA". Rfam says of the family: Transfer RNA (tRNA) molecules are approximately 80 nucleotides in length. Their secondary structure includes four short double-helical elements and three loops (D, anti-codon, and T loops). The record is from RNAcentral. Lineage: Bacteria; Bacillati; Actinomycetota.